This 467-nucleotide ribosomal RNA is filed under the name uncultured bacterium. Its description in RNAcentral is "partial 16S ribosomal RNA". It matches the Rfam family "Bacterial small subunit ribosomal RNA", at positions 28 to 507 of the family's 1533-position model. The record is from RNAcentral.
GACGAACGCUGGCGGCGUGCUUAACACAUGCAAGUCGAACGGAAAGGCCUCUUUCGGGGGGUACUCGAGUGGCCAACGGGUGAGUAACACGUGAGUAACCUGCCCUUGACUUUGGGAUAACUUCAGGCAACUGGGGCUAAUACCGGAUAGGAGCUCCUGCUGCCUGGUGGGGGUUGGAAAGUUUCGGCGGUUGGGGAUGGACUCGCGGCGUAUCCGCUUGUUGGUGGGGUAGUGGCUUACCAAGGCUUUGACGGGUAGCCGGCCUGAGAAGGUGACCGGCCACAUUGGGACUGAGAUACGGCCCAGACUCCUACGGGAGGCAGAAGGGGGGAAUAUUGCACAAUGAGUGGAGGCCUGAUGCAGCAGCGCCGUGUGCGGGAUGACGGCCUUCGGGUUGAAGACCGCUUUCGCUCAUGACGAAGCUUUGUGUGACGGUAGUGAGUAAAGAAGCACCGGCUAACUACGUG